This 204-nucleotide long non-coding RNA is filed under the name Nicotiana benthamiana. RNAcentral describes it as "long non-coding RNA (NBEN_LNC000502)". Lineage: Eukaryota; Viridiplantae; Streptophyta; Magnoliopsida; Solanales; Solanaceae. The record is from RNAcentral.
UUUUUGGUUGAUAUAAUUGAUAAAUUUAUAGAAAUCGUCAUAUUUUAUAUAUCUCAAUAUCCUUCCUAUUCUUUUGUGAAUAUGGUUAAAGGAAUUAGCCUUAAUACAAUCUUCUUAUCAAAAGAAGAAAUGUUUUAGGCUAUUUGUUACAAGUAAGAGGAAUGUCAUUACAUUCCAUUUUGUCUUACUUAAGAGGGAACUUGU